AAAGCCUUGUCUAUGAAGGUUACAGGUUCUAUAUCUGCUUUCAUGAUGACAUUUGUCUAUGUUUUUGUAGGUUUCUAUUCUGACAAGCACAAAACCCUGCACCAAGUUGAACCUGUCCUUUGUGAUGAGGCUGUUGAACAGAAGAGCAGCAUAGCAGUCUGUCUAUUCUUGCUCCACAUUCAGCUAAAUGCCAACUCUGAUCCCUUUGAGAUGGUGCACAGGCUGAACUCAGGGAGAGUGUCAUCUCUCAGUAUCCAAGCUUCUUCAGAGAACCAUGUGGUGAAACUUCUUGAUUAAGGUCAUGUUUUUAGUCCAUGGCAUCAAUUUUUUUUUAUAAGCUAAAGGAUUAUCUA
RNAcentral lists this long non-coding RNA (353 nucleotides) under Lynx pardinus (Iberian lynx). Lineage: Eukaryota; Metazoa; Chordata; Mammalia; Carnivora; Felidae. The record is from RNAcentral.